Molecule: non-coding RNA, 213 nt
Filed under: Oscillospiraceae bacterium
Lineage: Bacteria; Bacillati; Bacillota; Clostridia; Eubacteriales; Oscillospiraceae
Description: 6S RNA
Rfam family: 6S / SsrS RNA
About the family: E. coli 6S RNA was the first non coding RNA to be sequenced, but its function was unknown until recently. It consists of 184 nucleotides that fold into an extended hairpin structure with a large single-stranded internal bulge.
Source: RNAcentral
UUUCUCCUGCAGGGUACGUGCAUAGCCUUCGGGCUUUGCCCUGUGUAAAAACCCACAAGAUCGAAAGGGAGUUCGGAGUUUUGGGGCGGUGAAGCAGGCCUCCCGUUUGCAUUCUGCGAACGGAUGUUGGAAGCACUAAUGCACCAAACAGAACACCCACCUGCACAAAGCAGGGUUUCAAUCUCACGGGGGCACGGCCCAGGCGGGGAUAAA